UUUAAGGUCUAAUCUGCCCUAUGAGGAAUUAAAUGGCCGCGGUAUUUUGACCGUGCAAAGGUAGCAUAAUAAUUAGUUUUUUAAUUGAAAGCUGGAAUGAAUGAUUGGACGAGAAAAUAGCUGUCUCAAAUUAAUUUUAUUAGAAUUUUAUUUUUAAGUAAAAAAGCUUAAAUUUUUUUAAAAGACGAGAAGACCCUAUAGAGUUUUAUAAUUACUUAUGUAUACAUAUUUUUUAGAAUUUUAAGUUUGGUAUAUUUGUACUUAUUUUGUUGGGGUGAUAGAAAAAUUAAAAUAACUUUUUUUAUAUUUAAACAUUAAUGUAUGAUUUAAUGAUCCAUUUUUUAUGAUUAUAAGAUUAAAUUACCUUAGGGAUAACAGCGUAAUUUUUUUUUAGAGUUCUUAUCGAAAAAAUAGAUUGCGACCUCGAUGUUGGAUUAAAAUAAACAUUUGGUGUAGGGGCUAAAUAGUUAGGUCUGUUCGACCUUUAAAAUUUUACAUGAUCUGAGUUUAAACCGGCGUGAGCCAGGUUGGUUUCUAUCUUUAAAUUAAUAGGAUAUUUUAGUACGAAAGGACCAAAUAUUCAAUAAAUUAUUUAAAUUUUGAUUAUUAUUA
RNAcentral lists this ribosomal RNA (612 nucleotides) under Trochalus sp. BMNH 670865. RNAcentral's name for it is "partial 16S large subunit ribosomal RNA". It matches the Rfam family "Bacterial large subunit ribosomal RNA", at positions 1844 to 2733 of the family's 2925-position model. The record is from RNAcentral. Lineage: Eukaryota; Metazoa; Arthropoda; Insecta; Coleoptera; Scarabaeidae.